Molecule: RNA transcript, 736 nt
Organism: Alnus glutinosa
Lineage: Eukaryota; Viridiplantae; Streptophyta; Magnoliopsida; Fagales; Betulaceae
Exons: 5
Source: RefSeq, a predicted model, not a curated record
CGGAGGGUGAAAUUUUAGAAACAAAAAUUGUAGAGAGAGAGAGGGUGAAAUUUUAGAAACAAAAAUUGUAGAGAGAGAGAGAGAGAGAGAGAGAGAGAGAGAGGAGGCUAUCCUACACGCUCCCCCGCCCAAAUUCCAUGUCAACUUUGAACGUCACCAUGGGGGACGCGCCUGACGCCGGCAUGGGCGCUGUCCAGCGACGCCUCAUGUUUGAGGAUGAAACCACCUCCAGGCGUCUCACUUCUCUAGAGCAAAAAUCAGAGCUGUUGGUGGAGGUGAAAGAGGCAGAGGAACCGCCUUCCCUUGCUUUUGCUUUUGUUAGUUGGUUAUCAGGAUAGACCUCUGCUGAAUUGUGGGGGAGGUGGAACCUGUGGGACGUAUGGUGGAAGGUUUGACAAAAGUUUCCCAUGUACUUAGAGAAGGCAGAAAGUUUAUUGCAAAAACAUUUUGUGGGAAAGACACAAGUCCUCUUUACUGUCAGGUUUUGCAGUUGUGGCUUGAGAGGAAAAUCUUACCUGAAUAUGUUCUUCGGCCUUUCAUGGAUGACAUUGUAUAAAACCCAACACCAUUUUAUUUUUUAUUUUUAAAUUAGGUCAUUAGUGUCGACAGCUGAUAACAGCGUUGACUCCCAAAGUUGACGCUGCUAACACUUUUUUAAAUUUUUUUAGGCAUUCAUGUAGACUUCGGUUGACAUCAAUAGUCAAUUAUUAGCAUUGACGGUAAUAACAUUAUUCUU